CGGGGCGUAGCGCAGAUGGUAGCGCGCACGGUUCGGGACCGUGAGGUCGUGGGUUCGAAUCCCGCCGCCCCGACCA
RNAcentral lists this transfer RNA (76 nucleotides) under Elusimicrobiota bacterium. RNAcentral's name for it is "Elusimicrobia bacterium tRNA-Pro". It matches the Rfam family "tRNA". Rfam says of the family: Transfer RNA (tRNA) molecules are approximately 80 nucleotides in length. RNAcentral also lists the same sequence under 4 other names. The record is from RNAcentral. Lineage: Bacteria; Pseudomonadati; Elusimicrobiota.